This is a long non-coding RNA of Rhodamnia argentea, 834 nucleotides long. RefSeq lists it as uncharacterized. The transcript has 2 exons. The record is from RefSeq and is a predicted model, not a curated record. Lineage: Eukaryota; Viridiplantae; Streptophyta; Magnoliopsida; Myrtales; Myrtaceae.
AAUUCGGUCCCACAAGCGCCGGUGAACACGCCGCUAGAGUAGAACUGGAACUGGAAUCCCCCGGCGUCGAUGGCCACGGAAACAGGCUGAUUAGCGACUGCCUUUAGCAAUGCGCCCUCGCUGCUGGCAGGAACGUCCUCGUAGCCCUUUAUCAUCACGGCACGGUUCGAUUCCGAUUUGAUAUUGCAUUUGUCGUCCGUGCCCUUGUAGGGAUAGUUCGCCUCGGUUGUGAGGCCGUGCUUCUCGACAAAUUGGAACGCGCUAUCCAUCCAGCCGCCUUCGCAUCCCUGGUCCUGGCCACCGACGUCGCAGUCGACCAGCUCUUGCUCGGAGAGAGAAAUCAACUUCCCCGUGGUUAUUCCAUUAAUUCCUUCCACAGCCGCCACGGCUGAAAAAGCCCAACAACAUCCUACAUUUUUGCAACGGAAACAGGACAAUUCAAUUAGCACAUCCUUGCAAAGUUACCAUAAGAACAUUAGGGGAUGCAAUACUGGUUCCUGAACGAUCCCAUGACUUCACUAGCAAUGGUAGGAUUGAGGAAGAAGAGGUAAAGUGAAUUAGUUCGUGAGCACACAGAAGAAUCCCAAGAUUGCACCUCAAAUUUAUAGUCCUAAAAUUUUUUGGAUCGUACAACGAAUCCGGAUGUAGAUUCAUCGACUUGCCUGCUAAUCUGUCCUGACGGGUACAUCAAAAGAAUCAGAUGAAUCGGCCUUAAGUAAGACAAGCGGUAUUCAAUCAUCAACGUGCCGGAGAGAAUGUUUUGAGAUAGACUUAGCUUAUGAGAUUCGUGUUUCAGUGCGAGGGCUGGUGAAUUGGUACUACGUGCUUCGAUUU